GAGGGAGGGAGUGUGUUUGGAGAGAAGACUUCCAGCUGCUGGUCCACUACCCAAUUGGCUGCAAUGGGCAGAGCUGAGAGUAUCUGAAGCCAGGAGCCAGGAGCCUCGCCGGGAUCUCCUCAUGGGUGCAGAGGCACAAGGACUUGGGUGUCUUCUGCUGCCUUCCCAGACCCCAGCAGAGAGCUGCAUCGGAAGUGGAGCAGCCGUACUCGAACCGGCGCCCCUAUGGGGUGGCGUCACUGGGGGCCUUGGCUUUACCCGCUACCUCACAGUGCCGACCCUCCCGGAAGCCGUUCACUGUGGGAUCCAGCUGUCUGCUAACAGGCCUGGGAAAGCAGAAGGAGACGGCCCAAGGACUUAGGCCCCUGAACCCAGAAUGGAGCAGCGGCUAAAGUCCCUGGCUUCUGCUUCAGCCACUGGCUUCUGUCCCAGUCCCGGCCUUUGUAGCCAUCUCGGGGGUGAACCUCCACAUGGAUGAUCACUCAGAGAGAGAGAGAGAGAGAGUGUGAGAGAGUGCUGGCGAGGCCCCCUGUACUGCCUCUCUCCCCAAGUGGCUCCAGUGAAUGGCCAGCGCUGGGCCAGGCAGAAGCCAGGAGGCAGGAGGCAGGAGGCAGGAGGCAGGAGGCAGGAGCUGCAAUUAGGACUCCCGUGAGACAUGGAGGUGGGGUCCAGAGAACGCGGGCUCUCAGGGUCCGCGUCCCUGGGUCACCGCCUGGAGAGGCGGGACUGGAAGCGGCCCUGGGGCUUCAGACGCUGGAUGCGGCAGUGUGCAGAAGCGUCCUGGGUUGCCAUGGUGAUGGCCUGUGGGGAGUGCGUCUGCGCCUGGCGCUGUGACCAGGAAGUGCACCGGCACGCCUGGCGCCAGCUGCCCCGCGGUGCUCGCUGGGAGUCAGCGCCACGUCUACUCCUGCCAGAGCACCCGUGCAAGCCGUGAGGAGAGGAGCCUUCUUCGACGCUGCUGGCCGAGCCUGAGCCUGAGGGAGACCCAGCGGCCCCCGGGUCAGGCCGGCAUCAGGAGAGGCUGCGUGUCGGAGGCUGCCGCGCCAUUUCCCAGGUGCGUUUCUAUUCUUCGGCCCCUUCGGGAAGCAACGGCCUUCGCGGACCUCUGUCUCGCGGGCAGACCGCCCCCCUGCCCCCUUUGAGAGCACCCGUGCAAGCCGUGAGGAGAGGAGCCUUCUUCGACGCUGCUGGCCGAGCCUGAGCCUGAGGGAGACCCAGCGGCCCCCGGGUCAGGCCGGCAUCAGGAGAGGCUGCGUGUCGGAGGCUGCCGCGCCAUUUCCCAGGUGCGUUUCUAUUCUUCGGCCCCUUCGGGAAGCAACGGCCUUCGCGGACCUCUGUCUCGCGGGCAGACCGCCCCCCUGCCCCCUUUGAGAGCACCCGUGCAAGCCGUGAGGAGAGGAGCCUUCUUCGACGCUGCUGGCCGAGCCUGAGCCUGAGGGAGACCCAGCGGCCCCCGGGUCAGGCCGGCAUCAGGAGAGGCUGCGUGUCGGAGGCUGCCGCGCCAUUUCCCAGGUGCGUUUCUAUUCUUCGGCCCCUUCGGGAAGCAACGGCCUUCGCGGACCUCUGUCUCGCGGGCAGACCGCCCCCCUGCCCCCUUUGAGGUGAGUGACGCGCGGCUGUUGCAGUGUCCCGCUGGGGAUCUGGGCUGCAGGCGUGCCUGUUGCUCUUGGGUCCCGAAGGCUCGGGUGGAGUCGCGGUCGUGCAGUGCGGACGGUCUGGAAGGGUCCCCAGGGUGCGAGCAGCUGUGCGAGAGCAGAGGUGGCUGGGUCUCCUCCCGGAACGGCCUUGUGUUCUUGUCUGUUUGCUUUUCGAGGGCCCAGCCGCCCUGCUCUAGACCUGUGAGUGUUGUCGGGAGGAAUGAGAGCGAAAGUGCGUGUCUGUGUCCUGGUCUAGGAGGACAGUUUCGGGUUCCUGGCAUUGGCUGUGAUGUUAGCGCUCUGCGGGUUUUUCAUGAAAGAGCCUUGUCAGGCCGAGGUAUACCUUCCUUCCUAAUUUGAUGAUUUGGUUUUUAGUAUCGCACAAGUCACGGGAGUUUUUGUGGAAUAGGUUUUCUGUGUCUGUCGGGAUACUUGGUGGGUUUUGCCCAUGUUUGGUGUGUUCUGUGAUAGAUUGAUUUUGUAUGGUAGAAAUGCAUCCUUGCAUUUCUGGAGUAACUCUGAGUUGCACACAGUGUGCUAAGCUUUGGUUGUGCUUCUGGAUGGUGUCUGGCGAGGCAUGUGACACAUUCACGACGGAUAUAUCUAUGCCAUUUUCUUUAUGAUGUGUGCUUGUUUGGGAUGUUGGGAUGAUGCUGGUCUGAUGGAAUGAAAUGGAAGGCUUUUCCUCUUCAUCCCCUUUUUGGGAGGGUGUGCGAAUCACGGAUUUUAAUUAUCUUUUAAGUGGAGUUCUCACCUGUAGAGCCAUCUGGUCCUGGACUUUCCUUCUUGUCUUUUUUGUUUGUUUCUGUUUCCCUGCAACUACAGUCUCUUUUCAAAUUAUAAGUGUAUUCAGAGUUUCUUGUUUUACUGUAUUCAGUUUUAGCGGUUUGCGUCUUUCUGAGAGUCAAUCCACUCUAUCUAGGUUGACCAAAUCCCCGUGCCUGGUUUUUCCCUAGUAUUUUUGGUUUAUUAUUUUGGCAAGGUUGGUAGUGAUGUCCUCUCUGUCAUUUCUGUUGUCAAGUCAUUUGAGUCUGUUCUCCUUUUCCCCCCCCCUGUUUCCUCUUUUGUCAGUUUCACUGAGUUUUCAAGAACUGUAUUUUGGUCUCAGUGAAUGUCUUUUGUGAUAUUUUCUAUGCUGCUGGGUUGAUUUCCAUUUGAAUCAUUUUCCUCCUUCCGGUUUCUUCAGAUUUACUUUGCUGUUCUAGUGUUUGAAGGCAAAAUUGGGUUUAUGGAUCCGAUGUCUGUAUUCUGUAAUAUAUAGCUGUAGAGCAAUACAGUUUCUCAUGUGAAAUUGGUCCUGUCAACAUGGAAAACUGUAUGGGUGUACCCACUACUGGGAACGUGUUGAAGGAAACGAAAUCAUUGUGUAGACAGAGAGGCUUUCGCAGGCCUAUGCUUAUUGCAGUAGGAUGCACAAAAGCCAGGCUAUGCAGUCUGCAGACGCAUGUAUGGUGUCCAUAGCCCAGAAUGUCUUUAUUCAGUCUUGAGGUGAUCGGCAUUUUGGCUGAUGGCAUAUCUUUGCUCUUGUGGGUUGAGCUGUAGUAAAUACGGGGGCAGAGAGAACUCUUUUUUGUAUGCUGAUUUCAUUUCCCUUGGGUACUUUCCCAGAGCUGGAGUGGCUGGCUCAUAUGCUACGUCUGUAUUCAGAUUUCUGACUUAUCUCCAUACUGUCUUCCACAGUGGUGAUACCAGUUCACAUUCCCACCAGCAGUGGAUUAGGGUGCCUUUUCCCUCACAUCCUCAAGGCCAUUGUAAUAUCGGUUUGCAUUUCCCUGAUGGCUAGUGAUCCUGAGCAUGUUUGCAUGUGUGUGUUGGCCAUGAAGAUUCCCUUUCUUGAAAUAGUUUGCUUGUUGAAGUCCCUUGCCCAUUUCUUGAGUGGGUGGAUUGUUUUGCUGGUGUUGAGCUUCUUGAAAGUUUCUGGUAGUUGAUUCUUUAUCAGCUGCAUGCUUUGCAACCGUUAGUUUGCCUCUUCACUUUGCUGAGUGUCUCUUUGGCAGUGCAGAAGCUUCUCAAUAUGUUGUUGUUGUUGCUGCUGUUGUUUGGUGUCCUCUUCCAUUUCCUUGUUUAAUCUUUUGUGUUUCUCAGAUAUUGAGCAUCCUUGGUUCAAUUUAUUCCAAGCUCUUUCAUUUGCUUUGUAGCUAUGUGAACAGGAUUGGUCUUUGAAGUCCUUUCUCAGCCGUGACAUUGUCUGUGUAUACAAAUAGGCUGCUGAUUUUCUCUCCUGCCACUUUACCACACCCUACUCUGGGUUUUGAUAGUCUCGUAGUGGGGUCUUUAGGAUCUCCUAUAUAGAGAAUCAUGUCAUCUGCAAAUAGGGAUAGUUGGACUUCCUCCCUCCCAAUUUGUAUCUAACAUUGAGGAAUGAGAGAAAAAGUAGCAACAUGAUAAUGAAUGUGCACGGAGCAAAUGUCAGCAGUGACCUCCGAUGCUACCUUUCUGUAUUCUCUCUUGCUUUGUGGGAGACACGAUUUGGCCUGUGUCCGACAUGAUCCAUACUUUAAAGGCAGGGCUAGACUGUGGAGGGCGGUGAGUGGAAGCAGACCUGUGUUCCGUGGAGAACUCUGUAGAUCCCAGGUGUUUCAAGUCCUUGUGUGCGUGGGUACGUAAGUGUCUGAAUAAGUACAUUCGAAAGAUUUCCUCAUGCGCAAGUCAGAGAUAAUGCCACGCGGAAUGUUUGUAAGGAAGAAGAGAAUGACUGGGUACCAAAAUCUUUUCUAAGACCCAGUUAAACUCUUUUUCAAAUUCUGGGUUAAUAGGGUAGGUAAUGUAAAUAAUACCAAUUUCUAAAAACAAAAAGAAACUCUAGGAGAUGGCCUUGAUGUGGUUUUUU
Molecule: non-coding RNA, 4467 nt
Organism: Oryctolagus cuniculus (rabbit)
Lineage: Eukaryota; Metazoa; Chordata; Mammalia; Lagomorpha; Leporidae
Source: RefSeq, a predicted model, not a curated record